RNAcentral lists this ribosomal RNA (505 nucleotides) under uncultured bacterium. Its description in RNAcentral is "bacterial SSU rRNA". It matches the Rfam family "Bacterial small subunit ribosomal RNA", at positions 791 to 1304 of the family's 1533-position model. The record is from RNAcentral.
UAGUCCACGCCCUAAACGAUGCUAACUCGAUAUCUGCAUUUAUGUGGGUGUCUAAGGGAAACCAAUAAGUUAGCCACCUGGGGAGUACGUUCGCAAGAAUGAAACUCAAAGGAAUUGACGGGGGCCCGCACAAGCGGUGGAGCAUGUGGUUUAAUUCGAUGAUACGCGAGGAACCUUACCAGGGCUUAAAUGCAUAUUGACAGGUCUAGAGAUAGAUUUUCCUUCGGGCAAUUUGCAAGGUGCUGCAUGGUUGUCGUCAGCUCGUGCCGUGAGGUGUCAGGUUAAGUCCUAUAACGAGCGCAACCCCUACCGUUAGUUGCCAGCAUGUCAUGAUGGGGACUCUAACGGGACUGCCGGUGCAAACCGUGAGGAAGGUGGGGAUGACGUCAAAUCAUCACGGCCCUUACGUCCUGGGUCACACACGUGCUACAAUGGUAGGUACAGAGAGCAGCCACGUCGCAAGGCGGAGCGAAUCUAUAAAACCUAUCACAGUUCGGAUCGGGGU